Molecule: ribosomal RNA, 395 nt
Filed under: Microbacterium sp. iMTIII16
Lineage: Bacteria; Bacillati; Actinomycetota; Actinomycetes; Micrococcales; Microbacteriaceae
Description: bacterial SSU rRNA
Rfam family: Bacterial small subunit ribosomal RNA
Source: RNAcentral
AGAGUUUGAUCCUGGCUCAGGACGAACGCUGGCGGCGUGCUUAACACAUGCAAGUCGAACGGUGAAAGAGGAGCUUGCUCCUCUGGAUCAGUGGCGAACGGGUGAGUAACACGUGAGUAACCUGCCCUUGACUCUGGGAUAAGCGUUGGAAACGACGUCUAAUACCGGAUACGAACCGUGGAGGCAUCUCCUGCGGUUGGAAAGAAUUUCGGUCAAGGAUGGACUCGCGGCCUAUCAGCUAGUUGGUGAGGUAACGGCUCACCAAGGCGACGACGGGUAGCCGGCCUGAGAGGGUGACCGGCCACACUGGGACUGAGACACGGCCCAGACUCCUACGGGAGGCAGCAGUGGGGAAUAUUGCACAAUGGGCGAAAGCCUGAUGCAGCAACGCCGCG